CCUACGGGCGGCAGCAGUGAGGAAUAUUGGUCAAUGGUCGUAAGCCUGAACCAGCCAAGUAGCGUGCAGGAUGACGGCCCUAUGGGUUGUAAACUGCUUUUAUGCGGGAAUAAAGCGCGUUACGUGUAGGGCUUUGCAGGUACCGCAUGAAUAAGGACCGGCUAAUUCCGUGCCAGCAGCCGCGGUAAUACGGAAGGUCCGGGCGUUAUCCGGAUUUAUUGGGUUUAAAGGGAGCGUAGGCCGCAUGUUAAGCGUGCGGUGAAAUGCCGGGGCUCAACCCGGGCCUUGCAGCGCGAACUGGCGUGCUUGAGUGCGCGGAAAGCAGGCGGAAUUCGUGGUGUAGCGGUGAAAUGCUUAGAUAUGACGAAGAACUCCGAUUGCGAAGGCAGCUUGCGGCAGCGGAACUGACGCUGAUGCUCGAAGGCGCGGGUAUCGAACAGGAUUAGAUACCCUAGUAGUC
Molecule: ribosomal RNA, 460 nt
Filed under: uncultured bacterium
Lineage: Bacteria
Description: partial 16S ribosomal RNA
Rfam family: Bacterial small subunit ribosomal RNA
Source: RNAcentral